GAGGAGGAGUUCUGCAGUGGUAGCGGAGGCAAGCAGAAGAGGGCGCGGCCGCGGCAGCUCCGGUUCAGCAAGGUGAAGGGCGAGACCGUCCAGACGCGCCGGCGCACGCCCCGCAAGCAGAAGAGGGCGCGGCUACAGCAGCUCCGGCUCCGCAAGCUGAAGGGCCGGACGACACCGACCCAUUAAGAACAGAACGAUAUUGAGAAGUGCACGUCUCUUCCCUUCUUCUUCCCCUUUCCCCCACCGGCGGAUGUGGCGGAUGCGCUUCGUCCACGACGAGCGGACGUUGCCGCCGCCGCUGCGGCAGAGCGCCCCCCAGCGGCAACCGGAGCGGUCCGUGCCGACGUCCGACCAGGACCACCCGCUGCUCCCGCGGGACCGGCGCUGCCGCCUCCUCCGCGCCGCGUCGCGCCGGGUUCCCCGCCGCCGGUAGCGCCACCAACCCGACCUGAACCGCCGGACGCUGCUCCGUCGGCAGCCGCGGCGCCACCUGCGCCGCACCGCGACGAAGCCCCUGCCGCCCGAGGUGCGGGAACAGUUGACGACGAGGAAGCUCCCCCUUCACGUUCUAACGGAGUCGCACUGACUUCUACUCAUGUUGUUCUGGUACUUUCAGUUACAUUAGUGUGGAACCGAGGACUAUUUCCGCUAUCGCUUCGCCAAGGCCCUACGCGUCAGCCCGCCGAGGCACCAAACGAACUGGGUCUAGUAGCCGCGGCUCUCUCCUAACAUAGGCCCCCGACGCCGUAUGCCGUGUUCAAAUCCGCGGCAAGUGGUCGAACAGUCUGACAGCCGCUACCUCGAGCCGUUCGUGUUCUAGUCCCACUUGCGGCAGACGGCGCCGGAGGUGGACCCCCUGUUCAAGGGAGAGAGACAACCCCUCCUCUUCCGGCUCUUCCGCUGGCCCCUCCACUACGGCGACGCCGCCACCGACCUGGGUCUGUUCCUGGAGCGAAGGUGCCACGACAUGGACCAGCCGCUGCUGAGGGCGAAGUACUGUCCGUGGUGGUAGAUACAGCUGCCGCGUGUCAGGUAACACGCGGGAGCGUACGCAAGGAAGGACAUCCACCUGGUUCGGCAUAGUUACCGCAAGCCUCUCUUGCCUCGUUGGUUGAUGUAGGCGUAGGUCCCAUUGCCGUAAUGGCGGCCUCGCUGCUGCCUCCGCCGGUACCGCCUCGCCCCCCACCUCAGCCAGGACAAGGCCCCCUUCUUCGACUACGGCGUCUGGUUGCUGCUCGCCGACCUGCCGCACCACCUCGUCGAUAACAAGCCACGACGAUAAAAGGUAAGCGACGACCCAACGAAGAUGAGAGGUGGUUAGACAGUUCAUCGUUUCUCAUCCAAACUGGAGUUAAAGCUACGUCUGUACCUAACCCUACACUACGUACAUGAACGAUUAAUUCCCUAAACCUAGAACGGGAGUUAAUCUCAAGGGUUAGAGUUGCUUCACCCCAAAUACUUAAAAUAAUAAAAAAUCGAACUUACCUGACAUCGAAGCGAAUUAACUGACUGUCAACAUAAACUGACGUAUUGACCUAAUUAACUAAAGUACCGUCUACAGCCAAAACUGGAACCAA
This 1577-nucleotide ribosomal RNA is filed under the name Triticum aestivum (bread wheat). RNAcentral's name for it is "partial small subunit ribosomal RNA". Lineage: Eukaryota; Viridiplantae; Streptophyta; Magnoliopsida; Poales; Poaceae. The record is from RNAcentral.